AGCGAACGCUGGCGGCAGGCUUAACACAUGCAAGUCGAACGGGCGUAGCAAUACGUCAGUGGCAGACGGGUGAGUAACGCGUGGGAACGUACCUUUUGGUUCGGAACAACCCAGGGAAACUUGGGCUAAUACCGGAUAAGCCCUUACGGGGAAAGAUUUAUCGCCGAGGGAUCGGCCCGCGUCUGAUUAGCUUGUUGGUGAGGUAACGGCUCACCAAGGCGACGAUCAGUAGCUGGUCUGAGAGGAUGAUCAGCCACAUUGGGACUGAGACACGGCCCAAACUCCUACGGGAGGCAGCAGUGGGGAAUAUUGGACAAUGGGCGCAAGCCUGAUCCAGCCAUGCCGCGUGAGUGAUGAAGGCCCUAGGGUUGUAAAGCUCUUUUACCC
Molecule: ribosomal RNA, 387 nt
Filed under: uncultured bacterium
Lineage: Bacteria
Description: bacterial SSU rRNA
Rfam family: Bacterial small subunit ribosomal RNA
Source: RNAcentral